UGUGUGUGUGUGAGAGAGAGUGUGUGUGUGUUUGUGUGUGUGUGUGUGAGAGAGUGUGUGUGCUCAGUUCAUUCAUUUUGCUGACAGAGCAUUAACACACCUGCCACUUCACCUUUUACUAUCUAAAAAAUCUAAACACAUCUUUUUAAAAAACGUUUUAAUUUAUCGCACGAUUCAACUGAUACGAUCGAGAAUGUUCUUCAGCACACACACACACACACCCACACUCACUAGCACACAUACACCCACACAUCCACACACACUCACUAACACACACACACACCCACACACACACUCACAUGUAUGGAGCUCUGAGAUUCUCCUCAUGAGGUUGGAUUUGGGCAUCGCCUCUAACUGACUCACCGAGGAACUGAUGAUAAACCCUGAUCAAUACAGCCUCAUGAAUAAACCAUCAAUGCUCAUGAAUAUUAAUGAGAUGCUCCCUAGGCUGGACUGCGUGCAGAGAUCAGCGUUUACACGCCAAGGACGAAGGUCACGCGUGUUUAUCACACGGAGCAGCACUUUCACUUCAGACACACACACACACACACACACACACACACACACACUCACACAGACACAGACACAGAAACGAUUCAACGCUGUGUAGAAUUAGCAUCUACAGUAUCUGAAUUCAGCUGAACUCUAUACACACACGCACACACACAAUCUGAGUGAUCAGUAAAGUUCAUAUGUAGAAACAUCAUGUUAAUUCACUGCAGGUGUUAAUGCACAGCUGUAUUCAUUAAUUCUACACUGCAGGUGUUAAUGCACAGCUGUAUUCAUUAAUUCUACACUGCAGGUGUUAAUGCACAGCUGUAUUCAUUAAUUCUACACUGCAGGUGUUAAUGCACAGCUGUGUUCAUUAAUUCUACACUGCUU
This is a long non-coding RNA of Ictalurus punctatus (channel catfish), 882 nucleotides long. The record is from Ensembl. NCBI's taxonomy places the organism in Eukaryota, Metazoa, Chordata, Actinopteri, Siluriformes, Ictaluridae.